GUCCCCCCCAUUUACAGUAAAAUGUUUAUGAACUCAGUUUGCCCUGCAAAUAUAGUAAGGGUACCCAUAAAACCCCACUAGACUAGAACCCAAGAACUAACUUUCAAUAUUUAAUCACAUUAUGCAGCAUUAUGAAUUAAAUAAGUUAAAGGGAUACUACAGGCACGAUAAAGUUUUUUCAUUGAAAUCGUUAUAGUGUCUGGAGUUCCCUUGUGCCGACCUUCUGUU
This is a non-coding RNA of Pelobates cultripes (western spadefoot toad), 228 nucleotides long. Lineage: Eukaryota; Metazoa; Chordata; Amphibia; Anura; Pelobatidae. The record is from the annotation of a GenBank genome assembly.